Molecule: long non-coding RNA, 1121 nt
Organism: Brassica napus (rape)
Lineage: Eukaryota; Viridiplantae; Streptophyta; Magnoliopsida; Brassicales; Brassicaceae
Exons: 3
Source: RefSeq, a predicted model, not a curated record
UCCCAUUAGACCAUGUUUAUCCCAGGUCCUUAACUGGUUUCUUAAAGAAAAUAGGUGAUUUAAUUAAUUCAAAAGUAAUUAUAAUGUUAGUUACCGAUCCUUAACUGGGAGUUUUGGGAAUCGAUUUUAAUGGGGUGUUUGGUACACGUGUCGGCGAGGAAAUGCAACAAGAUUUUUUUUUCUUCUUUUGUUUCAUUCUUUUCUUUUCACGCGUUUGGUGUUCCUCGUCUUCUCCGUUUCUAGACGAUCGAAAGUCAAAACCCACCAUGUCUGCUCUCGCUUCUCCGUCUGAGACGAUCGACGACUCUGUCGGUCAUCACGGCGUCUCCUCCGUGUUCUCCGUCAGACGAAACCCUAAACACGAUGUGUUCUGAUCUUUAUGUGUUCUGAUUAACUUUGUGUACACUUGGUGGCAAUCUAUUAAAUUGUUUAGGUAAAGGGCCUUACAACGGAAGAGCUUGCUGCUAGAAACGAUUUGGUACUUGCGCUUCCGGCUAGGAUUGAAGCUAUACCUGAUGGGACUGCGGGUGGUCCUAAAAGCACUAGUGCGUGGGCUCCUUCUACAAUGUCUCGUCCUGAUAUCAAAUUUGAUUCAGUUGAUUCAAAACCCAACUAGCUUUGUGUUCCUUAUUGUAUUGUCUUAGAAUAAUAUGAACUGUUUAUUCUUUUUUGGAGCAAUCUGACACCUCUAAUGUGGAUAUUAGAUGGGCGUUUUGAUGAUGAUUACUUUCAAGAAUCACAUGAGUCCAGCCAGUUCAGACAUGAGUUUGAGAUGCGGAAAAUUAAACAGGCAGGUUUAGAUGCUUUGAAGAACAUGGCAUCUGAUAUGAACGAGAGCUGGACCGUCAAGUUCCUCUGAGGGAUGAAAUCGACUCAAAGGUAGUCAAUAUGGCCAGUCAAUUCAGAGCCAGGUAGUGGACUUGGGAGUGGAAGUGUUGUUUGAUCACGGACUGAAAUUUUGCAUGUUUGAUUGACAGAGGUGAGAUAGCGAGUCACGGACUUGGGAGUGGAAGUCUUGUAAUGUUUUGUAUUUUUGUGUCACGGACUAGAAAGUCUCGUGUGUCUCUUCGUAAUUUUAUGUGUAACAGAUUUGGUAAUAAAAUAUCAGCUUCCCUUAUAAA